This 253-nucleotide ribosomal RNA is filed under the name uncultured bacterium. RNAcentral's name for it is "partial 16S ribosomal RNA". It matches the Rfam family "Bacterial small subunit ribosomal RNA", at positions 524 to 776 of the family's 1533-position model. The record is from RNAcentral.
UACGUAGGGUGCGAGCGUUAAUCGGAAUUACUGGGCGUAAAGCGUGCGCAGGCGGUUCGUUGUGUCGGUGGUGAAAUCCCCGGGCUUAACCUGGGAAUGGCCAUGGAAACUGGCGAACUGGAGUGCGGCAGAGGGGGGUGGAAUUCCGCGUGUAGCAGUGAAAUGCGUAGAGAUCGGGAGGAACAUCAGUUGCGAAGGCGGCCACCUGGACCAGCACUGACACUGAGGCACGAAAGCGUGGGGAGCAAACAGG